UGGAAGAGUGGCGAACGGGUGAGGAACACGUAAGAAUCUGCCCCUCGGUCGGGGACAACUUUUGGAAACGAAAGCUAAUACCCGAUACGCUGUGGAGUGAAAGAAUUUCGCCGAGGGAUGAUCUUGCGUCUGAUUAGCUAGUUGGUGCGGUAAUGGCGCACCAAGGCGACGAUCAGUAGCUGGUCUGAGAGGAUGAACAGCCACAUUGGAACUGAGACACGGUCCAAACUCC
This 232-nucleotide ribosomal RNA is filed under the name uncultured bacterium. RNAcentral's name for it is "partial 16S ribosomal RNA". It matches the Rfam family "Bacterial small subunit ribosomal RNA", at positions 88 to 339 of the family's 1533-position model. The record is from RNAcentral.